This 465-nucleotide ribosomal RNA is filed under the name Vreelandella stevensii. RNAcentral describes it as "partial 16S ribosomal RNA". It matches the Rfam family "Bacterial small subunit ribosomal RNA", at positions 338 to 795 of the family's 1533-position model. The record is from RNAcentral. Lineage: Bacteria; Pseudomonadati; Pseudomonadota; Gammaproteobacteria; Oceanospirillales; Halomonadaceae.
CCUACGGGUGGCAGCAGUGGGGAAUAUUGGAUAAUGGGCGAAAGCCUGAUCCAGCCAUGCCGCGUGUGUGAAGAAGGCCUUCGGGUUGUAAAGCACUUUCAGUGGGGAAGAAAGCCUUGGGGCUAAUACCCUCGAGGAAGGACAUCACCCACAGAAGAAGCACCGGCUAACUCCGUGCCAGCAGCCGCGGUAAUACGGAGGGUGCGAGCGUUAAUCGGAAUUACUGGGCGUAAAGCGCGCGUAGGCGGUCUGAUAAGCCGGUUGUGAAAGCCCCGGGCUCAACCUGGGAACGGCAUCCGGAACUGUCAGGCUAGAGUGCAGGAGAGGAAGGUAGAAUUCCCGGUGUAGCGGUGAAAUGCGUAGAGAUCGGGAGGAAUACCAGUGGCGAAGGCGGCCUUCUGGACUGACACUGACGCUGAGGUGCGAAAGCGUGGGUAGCAAACAGGAUUAGAUACCCCAGUAGUC